RNAcentral lists this ribosomal RNA (806 nucleotides) under uncultured archaeon. RNAcentral describes it as "bacterial SSU rRNA". It matches the Rfam family "Archaeal small subunit ribosomal RNA", at positions 85 to 876 of the family's 1478-position model. The record is from RNAcentral.
ACUGCUCAGUAACACGUAGCUAAUCUGCCCUUAGGACGAGAACAACCCCGGGAAACUGGGGCUAACUCUUGAUAGGCGAAGAACUCUGGAAUGAGUCUUUACCUAAAUAGAUUCACGUUAUCCUCGUGAACCUGCCUAAGGAUGAGGCCGCGACCGAUCAGGUUGUUGGCGAGGUAAUGGCUCACCAAGCCUUUUACCGGUGCGGGCCGUGGGAGCGGGAGCCCGGAGAUGGGUACUGAGACAAGGACCCAGGCCCUACGGGGCGCAGCAGUCGCGAAACCUUUGCAAUAAGCGAAAGCUUGACAGGGCUAUCCCGAGUGCCAUCCGCUGAGGAAGGCUUUUACCCAGUCUAGAACGCUGGGGGAAUAAGGAGAGGGCAAGUCUGGUGUCAGCCGCCGCGGUAAUACCAGCUCUCCGAGUGGUGUGGAUGUUUAUUGGGCCUAAAGCAUCCGUAGCUGGCUAGGUAAGUCCCUUGUUAAAUCCACCGAAUUAAUCGUUGGAUCGCGGGGGAUACUGCUUGGCUAGGGGACGAGAGAGGCAGACGGUAUUUUCGGGGUAGGGGUGGAAUCCUAUAAUCCCGGGAAGACCACCAGUGGCGAAGGCUGUCUGCUAGAACGCGCCCGACGGUGAGGGAUGAAAGCUGGGGGAGCGAACCGGAUUAGAUACCCGGGUAGUCCCAGCUGUAAACGAUGCAGACUAGGUGUUUGGACGGCCACGUGCCGUUCUAGUGCCGCAGGGAAGCUGUUAAGUCUGCCGCCUGGGGAGUACGAUCGCAAGAUUGAAACUUAAAGGAAUUGGCGGGGGAG